GGAGACGCGCGCUCUUACACAACCACAAGUCAUGGCGCUGCGCUGAGCUCCGUUCAGCCUGUGAAUGUGGUAUUAUCUUUGCGAUCUGUUGGCAUUACGGAAACGAAAGGUGCAAGAAACGUAACGUUAAUCAUAACUCAAACAAUCUCCGCCUAAAUACUAAACGGUAUUUUCUGAUGACUUGCAAAAACGUAGUCUCAAAACGUAACUGUCUAUCACACGCAGCUUGUUGCAUGCUGAUCCAUGCAUGAGGAAAGCCUGACAGAGAACAUUUAAGCUGCGCUCCUCACCUGAGCAGAAUUGAAGGUCGGUUGUUGCUGACUACAGAAAAGUUCUUAAAGUUUUCUUAAUUUUUGUAUUUGCAGGAACUGCAUGAUGUCAGUUCAUGACGGACUACUGUUAUCAGAGGUCUUUUGGUCUUGCUGCGUGAGCGUGACUUGGGAUUCUUUAGGACCACCCUGAUUGAUAAUCCUGAAGUGCUGACAGAGGAUGCUUUAUUGGCCCUGCAUUCACUGAGGGUCUCUGUUGUCCUGAAGAAUGAAUUGGACACCAUCCACAGCACACGUCCAGACCUUUCUUGUCUUGUUUGGAUUACUGUAUGCUCUUCUUCACAUAAUAUAGAGUAAAGGACUUUGAACUUGUGCAAAAAGUUUUGCUUGGCAUGGAUGAUAGAAAAUAGAAAGUGUCCUUGCAUGGAAACCUUAAAGAAUGAGUUGAUGUAGAGCUUUUUUUUUUUUACUUAAUAAAGACUGUCACUGGGGUAGUAACUUCAAAACAUGUAUGUACUUUUAAUUAGUAAGGGUGCAUUUUAUUAUAUAUAGGGAUAGUUUGUCCAAACUUAAAAUUCUUUCAUUUACUCACUCUUCACUUUUCCCAAACCUGCUUAAAUAUUUUGCUUCUGUUGAACACAAAAGUUAUUUUAAGGAAAGCUGACAACCUGUAACCAUUGACUUUCUAAUAG
This is a non-coding RNA of Danio rerio (zebrafish), 961 nucleotides long. Lineage: Eukaryota; Metazoa; Chordata; Actinopteri; Cypriniformes; Danionidae. The record is from RefSeq and is a predicted model, not a curated record.